AAUGCAAUGACAAAGGAAUUUGUAAUACUUGAAAUGGAUCUCCUAUAGUUUUGGAAACUCCCCAUAUUAGAGAAACAUCAUUGAGUGCAGCGUUGAUGAAGAUUCUCUCUCACUUGUGUCUCUCAGGAAGAUGUUUCAUGGUGUUAGUGUCAUCAAUGCUGCACUCAAUCAUGUUUUUCUGGCAAUAUGGGAUUGAGAGAAGUGAAAAGCAUCCAAAUAAGCAAGACAGGAACUAAGGCCUUAUUGUCACCUUUCUUACAGCUCAAAAAUAGAGUGCAUGAUUAACAUUUUCCAUUAUUCUCAGAUUUCUUAUGAUCAGAAUAGAGGAACAAUUUCUGUUCUUUUGUUUCCCAGCACACAUAAUAUAGGAUGAACUCUGAAGAAAAGAGAUGAGAAAUCCAAAGUUGAUGGUAUCCCAUGAUUUAUCAAAAACAUUAUGCCAUCCAGCAGUGCAGACAAAAAUAAAUGGUUAACGGGUCAUCCAAUUUGUUGCCAAAAGUGCACUUUUUCAGUGAAUUGCAGUUGAGAGUCUCAAGAUCAUGAAAUGUAAAACCAAUUUUUUUUUUAAAUUUCUCUCUUGAAUUUUUGUAUGCUUGUUUAAUGUCAAUGAGGUUCACCAACAAGUUCAUCUA
Non-coding RNA from Cajanus cajan (pigeon pea), 632 nucleotides. The record is from RefSeq and is a predicted model, not a curated record. Lineage: Eukaryota; Viridiplantae; Streptophyta; Magnoliopsida; Fabales; Fabaceae.